AAGAGGGUGAAAUAUGAAGGCCUUGUCAACGACUGCCAUAACCAAGGCUGGAAGGCAAGGUGCUUACUUGUGGAGGUGGGGUGCAGAGGCUUUGCAGGGCAGUCCCUCUGCAGGGCCUACACUGCACUCAGCAUCACGGGUGAGAGAAGAAGAAGGGCUAUCUGCAAUAGCACAGAGGCUGCAGAGAGGUUUUUGAGGUGGCUCUGGAUAAAAAGAGAAGAGCCGUGGACAAAUGCUGCUAGGGCACAAGCUGAGGCUUGAUCAACCUCAGUUGGGUCACCUGAAGGAGUGUGUCUGAUGUUUCGAAAGACCCGAAAAACACCCAAUCAGCAACAUCACUGAUGAUGUGCCCUAGCUUAGCAUCAGUUGAUGCAUCAUUAAAACUGUGAUUAUAAAGUGUCUGCUCCAACCCGUCGCCAUAGAACAAUUAAUUCUUCAACCGUUCAAUCAUUCUCAAAGACUUUUAAUUCUAUUGACGAUGACUAUUCAAGGUCUUCAUACAGCCUUAACACUGAAGAUCUGACUUCUUUGUUCUCUUCUACUUGUCUUAAUAUCUUGGAUACUGUGGCUCCUUUUAAGAUGGUUCGAGCAAAACCUAGAACUCAACCAUGGCUGAACGCAACGACUCAAUCUGUAAGGCUCGAGUGUAAAAGGGCGGAACGCCUCUGGAAGAAGGAUAAAUUGCAGAUUUCCUUUGAUAUUUUAAAGGAGAAUCUGAUUAAAGACCAAAAAACUGUUAAAUCUGAGAAAUCAAAGUAUCUUUCUAGUGUCAUCUGUAAUAACUCAAACAAGCCAGUUGUGCUAUUUAGUGCAAUUAACUCAGUUUUAAACACUCCCCAAGCAGCCUGCCUAGAGCCUUCAGUUGAGAUGUGAGAACCUUUUAGACUUUUACAUUGACAAGAUUGAGGCUGUUAGAGCUAAUAUUUUGCUCCCUUCAUCUUUUUCAUCCAUUUCCACAGAGUGCUCUGCUGUUUUUGAUCAGUUUGAGUCGGUGUCACUUGAUUCACUGAAAGAGACCUUUGUUAAAAUAAAACCAUCCUCAUGUGGACCAUCAAAACUCCCAUUUCUAUCCAAACUAUUGGAGAAGGUUGUAUUUGGACAAUUGAACUCAUUUUUAGAUUUACAUGGUAUUCAUGAAGUAUUUCAGUCUGGUUUUAAAGCAGUCUGGUUUUUAAUGACUUACUACUUGUCACUGACUGCGCUAUCUUAAUUUUACUGGACCUUUUGGCUUCAUUUGAUAUAGUUGACCAUAAUAUCUUGAUUUCACGGCUCGAACAAUGUGUUGGUAUUAAGGGUACUGCAUUGGAAUGGUUUAAAUCCUAUUUGGCAGAAAGAACUUUUUCAGUUUAUCUUGGAGACUAUGUCUUCUCAACUGCCAUACUCACAUGUGGGGUCCCCCAGGGUUCCAUUUUGGGGCCUAUUCUGUUCUCCUUGUGUAUGCUCCCUUUGGGGCAUAUUUUUAGGAAAUUUGCCCUUGAAACGUAAAGAUACCUGCUCUCUAUCGCCUCUAAUACAGUGUUUUGAAGAAAUGAAGACCUGGAUGGCACUAAAUUUCCUCAAUUUUAAUAAAAACAGAAGUGUUGUUGUUUUACGCCAGGGGGAACCUGUGAGUCAGUAGACCUAAACCUAAGUAAGCUGAAUCCAUAUGUGAAGCCCUUUGUAAAAAAAAAAUUGGGCGUUGUUAUGGAUUGUGGUUUUAAAUUGGAAAACAGGUUAAUUUAGUAGUUAAAUCAUGUUUUUUCCAAUUGAGACAACUCACCAAGGUGAACCCUUUCCUGUCCUCUAAGGACUUUCAAAGAGUUGUGCAUAUUUUCAUCUCAAGUCAGCUUGAUUACUGUAAAAGCCUUUAUUUAGGUAUUAAUCAGGCCUCUCUCUCCAGACUGCAAAUGGUCCAGAAUGUGGCAGCCGCCUAUUGAUGGGCACGAAAGCGGGAACAUAUCUCUCCCAUUCUGGCGUCCCUUCACGGGCUUCCUGUCUAUUAUAAAUCAUCUGAAAAUAUUGGUGCUUGUUUUUAAAUCUCUUAAUGGGUCAGCGCCAAGUUACUUAUCAGAUUUGAUUAAUCUGUAUGCUCUGUCAAGAGCACUAAGGUCUGCUGACCAUUUGCUUUUAGCUGUUCCAAGAGUAAAACUGAGGAGCAGUGGGGACCGAGCAAGGUCUUUAAAUCUGGCCUAAAAACAUAUUUUUUCUUUGUGGCGUUCGAUGCCAUGUGAGAGCUGCUUUCUUUUAUUGUUUUAUUGUGUCUUAAGUGUUUUUCUUUUAUUUGUGUGUUUGUAUUAAUAAAUCAUGUUUCCUUUUUGUAUGUACAGCACUUUGACAAACACUUGUUUUAAAAAAAAGUGCUUUAUAAAUAAACUUGACUGACUUUGACUGCAGAGAACGCCCCUCGGGGGAGUGGCCGGGGGUGUUCUUGGAACUGAUCCAGGACUUUGAUGCAGGGUUUCAGACUCUAAGAACUGUGAGUACACACAAAACAUUUGAUACAGGAUUGCGGAGAACUCCAACACGCGUAAAACGUUCUGGUACCAUAGACAGGUGAAAAAAAAUCCCAGAGUCACAUCAGCCCUGCUCUGAUUAAGACUGAAAUGGAUCAGGGAGAGCAGAACUGAGCCACACAAUAAUAUAAAGAUCAGUGAAGUGAGAGAGAGAUUUACAUGAAGACGGCUGAGUGAUCCUCUUUCUCCCAGAAUAGAGCAGCACUUUCACCAGAUGUUCAACUUUCUUCAUCCAAACUCACUGAAGCACAACACACAGCCCUGAAUCUACAGCUAAACACACUCUCUCCUCACACUGAUAAUGACUAUUAACUCCAAGAAAAGAACACACAAUGUCCAAAAUGAAGCUUUAUUUCAGCAGAGCAAAACUACAGGAAGAGCAACAGGACAGUGAAGAGAGUAAAGACAGAAAUGUCAGCAUUGUGUAGAACUGAAACUCUAUUGUAGAUGGAUGUGGAAGCAGCUCAGUGUUCAGUUCUAU
Tachysurus fulvidraco (yellow catfish) is the source of this 2973-nucleotide long non-coding RNA. RefSeq lists it as uncharacterized. The transcript is spliced from 2 exons. The record is from RefSeq and is a predicted model, not a curated record. NCBI's taxonomy places the organism in Eukaryota, Metazoa, Chordata, Actinopteri, Siluriformes, Bagridae.